RNAcentral lists this ribosomal RNA (111 nucleotides) under Rhizoctonia solani. RNAcentral describes it as "partial 5.8S ribosomal RNA". It matches the Rfam family "5.8S ribosomal RNA", at positions 45 to 154 of the family's 154-position model. Rfam says of the family: 5.8S ribosomal RNA (5.8S rRNA) is a component of the large subunit of the eukaryotic ribosome. It is transcribed by RNA polymerase I as part of the 45S precursor that also contains 18S and 28S rRNA. Lineage: Eukaryota; Fungi; Basidiomycota; Agaricomycetes; Cantharellales; Ceratobasidiaceae. The record is from RNAcentral.
GCAGCGAAAUGCGAUAAGUAAUGUGAAUUGCAGAAUUCAGUGAAUCAUCGAAUCUUUGAACGCACCUUGCGCUCCUUGGUAUUCCUUGGAGCAUGCCUGUUUGAGUAUCAU